RNAcentral lists this ribosomal RNA (439 nucleotides) under uncultured bacterium. RNAcentral describes it as "bacterial SSU rRNA". It matches the Rfam family "Bacterial small subunit ribosomal RNA", at positions 355 to 776 of the family's 1533-position model. The record is from RNAcentral.
UGGGGAAUCUUGCGCAAUGGCCGCAAGGCUGACGCAGCGACGCCGCGUGGGGGAGGAAGGGCUUCGGCUCGUAAACCCCUGUCGCCCGGGGCGAACAUCCCUUUUCGAGGGGACUGACGGUACCGGGUGAGGAAGCACCGGCUAACUCCGUGCCAGCAGCCGCGGUAAUACGGAGGGUGCGAGCGUUGUCCGGAAUCACUGGGCGUAAAGGGCGCGUAGGCGGCACGUCAAGCGUGUGGUGAAAGCCCGGGGCUCAACCCCGGGUCGGCCGUGCGGACUGGCGUGCUCGAGCACUGUAGGGGCGGGCGGAAUUCCGGGUGUAGCGGUGGAAUGCGUAGAGAUCCGGAAGAACACCGGUGGCGAAGGCGGCCCGCUGGGCAGGGAGCCCCCUCACGGGGGCGGCUGACGCUGAGGCGCGACAGCGUGGGGAGCAAACAGG